RNAcentral lists this long non-coding RNA (754 nucleotides) under Mytilus galloprovincialis (Mediterranean mussel). The record is from RNAcentral. Lineage: Eukaryota; Metazoa; Mollusca; Bivalvia; Mytilida; Mytilidae.
CGCUAGAUAUAAAACCAGGUUUAAUCCACCAUUUUUACUAAAGAUAAUGCCUGUAUAUACGUACCAAGUCAGGAAUAUGACGAUUCUUGUCCAUUUGUUUGAUGUGUUUGAGCUUUUGAUUUUGCCAUUUGAUUAGCAUGAUUAGGGACUUUCUUAGAUGCAUGAUUUUUUUAUUAGUUGUUAGUGGCUUUGAACUAGCUGUCAGAUAGCUGUGAGUACUCUCAGAUCUGUUCAUUGUGUCUUUUUGUGUCAGGAUGUAUAAGUACUGGGCCACGUCCACUUGUAUUUUUGUCCAUCUGAUGAGUUAAGCCUUUUUCAACUGAUUUUUAUAGUUCGUUCUUAUGUUGUACUGUUAUACCACUGUCCAAGGUUAGGGGAGGGUUGGGAUCCCACUAACAUGUUUAACCCCGCCACAUUAUUUAUGUAUGUGCCUGUCCCAAGUAAGGAGCCUAUAAUUCAGUGGUUGUCGUUUGUUUAUGUGUUACAUAUUUGUUUUUCGUUCAUUUUUUUUUUUUUACAUAAAUAAGGCCGUUAGUUUUCUCGUUUGAAUUGUUUUACAGUGUCUUAUCGGGGCCUUUUAUAGCUAAUUAUGCGGUAUGGGCUUUGCUCAUUGUUGAAGGCAGUACGGUGACCUAUAGUUGUUAAUGUCUGUGUCAUUUUGGUCUUUUGUGGAUAGUUGUCUCAUUGGCAAUCAUACCACAUCUUCUUUUUUAUAUAUUCGUUUUGAUUUUGCCAUUUGAUUAGGGACUUUUGU